This 415-nucleotide ribosomal RNA is filed under the name Alexandrium margalefii. RNAcentral's name for it is "partial Bacterial small subunit ribosomal RNA". It matches the Rfam family "Bacterial small subunit ribosomal RNA", at positions 1 to 418 of the family's 1533-position model. The record is from RNAcentral. Lineage: Eukaryota; Dinophyceae; Gonyaulacales; Pyrocystaceae.
ACGGAGAGUUUGAUCCUGGCUCAGGAUGAACGCUAGCGGCAGGCCUAAUACAUGCAAGUCGAACGAGAUUCUUUUCUUCGGAGAAGAUGAAAGUGGCGCACGGGUGCGUAACGCGUAUGCAACCUACCCAUUACAGGGGGAUAGCCCGGGGAAACUCGGAUUAAUACCCCAUAGUAUCCAAUAUUGGCAUCGAUGAUGGAUUAAAGAUUUAUUGGUAAUGGAUGGGCAUGCGUCUGAUUAGCUAGUUGGUGAGGUAACAGCUCACCAAGGCGACGAUCAGUAGGGGGUCUGAGAGGAUGAUCCCCCACACUGGUACUGAGAUACGGACCAGACUCCUACGGGAGGCAGCAGUAGGGAAUAUUGGUCAAUGGGCGAGAGCCUGAACCAGCCAUGCCGCGUGCAGGAAGACAGCUUU